CGAUUCGAGUGGCGGACGGGUGAGUAACGCGUGGGUAACCUGCCUUACACAGGGGGAUAACACCUGGAAACAGGUGCUAAUACCGCAUAAGCGCACAGGGCCGCAUGGCCCGGUGUGAAAAACUCCGGUGGUGUAAGAUGGACCCGCGUCUGAUUAGCUUGUUGGCGGGGUAGGGGCCCACCAAGGCGACGAUCAGUAGCCGGCCUGAGAGGGUGGACCGGCCACAUUGGGACUGAGACACGGCCCAAACUCCUACGGGAGGCAGCAG
This 268-nucleotide ribosomal RNA is filed under the name uncultured bacterium. RNAcentral's name for it is "partial 16S ribosomal RNA". It matches the Rfam family "Bacterial small subunit ribosomal RNA", at positions 87 to 354 of the family's 1533-position model. The record is from RNAcentral.